ACCCGCUGAACUUAAGCAUAUCAAUAAGCGGAGGAAAAGAAACCAACAGGGAUUGCCCUAGUAACGGCGAGUGAAGCGGCAACAGCUCAAAUUUGAAAUCUGGCGUCUUUGGCGUCCGAGUUGUAAUUUGCAGAGGGCGCUUUGGCAUUGGUAGCGGUCCAAGUUCCUUGGAACAGGACGUCACAGAGGGUGAGAAUCCCGUACGUGGUCGCUAGCCUUUACCGUGUAAAGCCCCUUCGACGAGUCGAGUUGUUUGGGAAUGCAGCUCUAAAUGGGAGGUAAAUUUCUUCUAAAGCUAAAUACUGGCCAGAGACCGAUAGCGCACAAGUAGAGAGAUCGAAAGAUGAAAAGCACUUUGGAAAGAGAGUUAAAAAGCACGUGAAAUUGUUGAAAGGGAAGCGCUAGCAGCCAGACUUGCCUGUAGUUGCUCAUCCGGGUUUUUACCCGGUGCACUCUUCUAUAGGCAGGCCAGCAUCAGUUUGGGCGGUUGGAUAAAGGUCUCUGUCAUGUACCUCUCUUCGGGGAGAACUUAUAGGGGAGACGACAUGCAACCAACCCGGACUGAGGUCCGCGCAUCUGCUAGGAUGCUGGCGUAAU
Molecule: ribosomal RNA, 597 nt
Filed under: uncultured fungus
Lineage: Eukaryota; Fungi
Description: eukaryotic LSU rRNA
Rfam family: Eukaryotic large subunit ribosomal RNA
Source: RNAcentral